UCCAAACAGGGCUGCGUUCCUGCGCCCAGAGAAGAGAUGCCCAUUGGCCAUCCUGCUCAUUAUGAGACGCUUUACGUCUUCAUCCAUGCCUAAAACAAUAGAAAUCUUCGGUACAUUAUUUUCUAAGGCAUAUGCGAAUACAGUAGUUACAUGUUAUAAAUAAUAUAUGUUAAGAAUCCAACAAAUUAUCAUUUGCUAUGUGAAAUCUCGACAGUAAAAAUUACACUUGCUAGUUUCGAGUCAAAAAUUGCAUUUAAGCUGAGUUAGUGGCCAAUUAUAAAUUAAUCCAUCAAUAUGUAUAAUUUUACUUAGUUAUAUCUUGCUACAGAUUUAUUUGUAUUAAUAAAAUAGUUACUUACAUUUGUAAAAGUUGCCGCCUCCGGUGUUUACGUCCGCCAUUUGCAAUUUUUUUGCACUGUGCCGCGUCUCCGCGUUGGAUUAUGGGAAAUAGGGGUCGGCAGAGUGUACAUCGUAUGUACCCUCGAAAUCAGAUUGCAUUGUGGGUAAGAAAGAGUGAACAAAUGUAGGGAAUGAGAUGUAGGGAAUGAAUUCGGACACCACUACAAAAUGGCUGACACCCGAAAUAGUGCACUAUUUAGAGGAUAGGGGGCGGUUUCGGACACAGCUACUGUCUUUGAGGCACCAGGAAGCACAUUCACAACAACAGGAAAUAACUCCAUACCUUCUGGGAUGCAACUUUUGGAGCUGGUUAAAACAUCAUAGUUCCACCCUUGUGCCACCCUUUUACUCGAUAUCUCACCUCUAAGACUUGACCACAAUGGAUGGUGACUCCUACCUUUCUAGUCUUUACUUCUCUGCAACUUCAAGGCCUCAGAAAGAAGAUCUGUGACUUUAUUUGUAAAGUCACAAUUCUCUCUUAUGAUCUCCUCAAUCACAUUGAAACCCAGCAGGGGACAGUCCAUGCACUUUUGACUCACCAACAGGGGUACCUGGAUGGCGAUUCGUCCAUGUUUGCUACUUGAUAUUGCUUGUAGUACUUCAACCCAUCCAUCAAAGGGUAUAACUGUCCCAUUAGCGGAAAUGACAUUAAGCUGGCCAUUUGCUAGUAAGGAUUUCAAUGGUUGAAUUUCAACUCUUGCAAAUUCAAUGCUGACAAUGCUGACCUGAGCCCCACUGUCUAAAGAGCAUUUGAGCUUGAACACCAUUUAAAUGGCAAGUUACCAUGCAACAGCUGCCAAUCAAUUGUGCAACCCGUUUCUCUUCAUUCAUUUGCAUUUACUCUUUUUGGUAGGCUCUCGGUUACAGAUGUCUCACUUCGGAAUGCACUGAAAGAAGAUUAGGACACAAGAUCUUCUGCGGUCACUGGUGGUCCCUCCCAGGGACCUCCUCUCUUUUAACGCUUGACUUUUCAGGAGACAGCCAACGACCCGGUGUUCUGCUUGACCACCUAGAAAACAGUGAGUACAAGAGUCAAUGUUUUGCCGUAUAUAUUGUUUUCCACUUUCCCUUUGUUUCAGAUUUUGUUGGGUUUUCUGCACUUUCUGCAGUAGCUUUGGUUUGCUGUGGGCCACUAGUACCAAUGGACCUCAGAACUUUCUCGAGGUUCGCGGUCAAAGCAAAUACUUGCGCACAGAGUUCAUGGAUGGCUUCCCGAUUGGCUUUGACUUCAGAUUGACUCUGGGGAAAACACUACCCAUUUACAUCAUCCUGCUUUGUUACACUACAAUUUGUGACUUUGGACCCCGAUACAGUGAAUGGAGGAAAACACCUUGGACCAGUUUGCGGUCAUACUGAAACUCAGACUCAGUUUGUUGUGAAGCAAACAACACUCUCUGCUUAAGAUCCAUUAACCUGUACACAAAGUGGGAAUAUUCUCUGUCAUGUUGUUUUGCAUUUCUCAACUCCUGCAAUAAUUCAGUACUGCUUUUGUACCUAAGUCUCUGCACUCUCUUCUUCACUGGUGGUGAAGCCUUGUCCUGGGUCAGUCAAAUCAUCAAUGAGGGCACGGAGGUAAAGAAGGUGGGCCAUCCCUUGGUCCUCCAGACUUGCAGUUGUUCCCCUCUCAUGAAGUCAACAAUUAAGUCAUAGAGUUCCACUUCUGCGGCAUCCACGUUUGGGAACAACUCUCCUUCCCCUUCAUGGCAAAACUCAGCUAUUUUGUAGAGCACCUUGCAGUUUGAUGAGCUGACCAACAGGUGGAGUUGCUUCUCAAUGUCCCACCGUAUAUCUCGAAGAGUAGUCAUGACUGGAAAGCUGAUGUCUGCUGUUCAACUUGCUGGUCUAGUCUCACUGAAGAUAAUCACUGUGAUUUUUCACUGAUUAGCACCUGACCACCAAGAGGUGCCAAUCCAGGACAAGCCCCCAAGUUGUUACCCACCUCAGGCCAGGGUGGCCUGAGUGGAUAAUUUAAAGUUGGAUAGUGAACUGUAGAAAGAGAGAGAAAUACCAUGAAAUGAUAAGUGGGUGCAAGCUCUGGCAGCAUUAAUACUCCAGUGCUAAGCGCCCUCUACAGGAGGCAAUAAUAAUUUAAACUCAAACCUCUUAAUUCAACCCAUACCUCUCUUAAUACAUCAUAAAUGUU
This is a long non-coding RNA of Xyrauchen texanus (razorback sucker), 2542 nucleotides long. RefSeq lists it as uncharacterized. The record is from RefSeq and is a predicted model, not a curated record. The transcript has 3 exons. Lineage: Eukaryota; Metazoa; Chordata; Actinopteri; Cypriniformes; Catostomidae.